GUUGGAGCAGGGUUGCAACUGAAGUCUGCAGGAUGGUAGCUCCCAGGAGCAGGGUUGGAGAUCCCUGGCCUACAGUGUCUCUUCUCCUACAAGUAAAAUCAUUAAUGAUGGAGCAGCUCCUGAAGGCAUGGAGAGCAUGAAACCAAGGCAGUCGUGACAAGAAGAGGAAAGGUUUUUUCCCCCUGCAGACCACUCUCACCUGCAGCUCAUCACAAUUAUACAAGGUCUGACAGGGUCUGGGAAAUAUUUUUUUUAUUUUUAGCCCCCAAGCACUCAUUUUUCCACUCUUACCUCCUUUUGAAAUAAGGUCGAGGGGAAAAAACUCUUAAACUGUUUGACCUGUAUCUUUGCUAAGGUCUAAAAUGUAACUGAAGCAAUGAUUGUGUUCUGUGGUAAAGGAGCCAAGAACAAGCAAGAAAAAAAGCAACUGAGAGAAAGUACAAAGACUUCUGAAAUACAUACCACAAACUGUACCCGCAAGAUAGAAGAGAUUUUCAUCUUUUUUUUUUUUUUUUUAACCUACCACACAAAGUUAAGAGUGCUCAACACAGAAAGCAUGACUAGAACUCCUAUUUCCAUCCACCCUGAAAUGAAAUGAGAGAUGUUAAAAAUGUCAUGAAUAUGUAGAUCACAGAAAAUCUCCCACAGCUGUGAGGUUUCACAUGUUCGAGUUUCAGAGCUGAAGAGGAUCCAAAAAGUACAGGACAUUCCAAUCUUUUGCAAAUGGAUGCCUGUUUGCCAUAUGAAGAGGCCCUACUCAAAAAGGCACAAUGACUGCGCUAUGAUUUGUCCUUCAGGAAUAACAUCUCUACAUUUCUAGCACUUCUACUGUUACCUCUUCUAACUCUCCCACUUCUCUCACUUCUGGCUUGCUCUCCCUUUCUCUGUAAAAUGCAAUCUGCAAUCAGAACUACAUGGUUAACCUCAGGAUUGCACCUCUGCCAAUCUCAUUUAUACGCUUCUUGAUUGAAAUGAAUAUUUAAGUGGUUGCAUAUAAAUUAAUAAAGCUUCAGCUCUCUCCUCCGGAAUGUGACCUCUUGCAUGAGGAGCUUCCUGGGAUCUAUUAAAUAUGUAAAAAUAAUGUAAAUGUAGGCCUCUGAAUUUUUUUUUUAAACAAUAACGCAGAGUUCCUCAAACAUAAUAUCUUGAAAGGAACAUACUCAAAAAGAGUUAAUAUAUUCUGAAUUAUUGAACGAAUCUGACAGACUAAACCUUUGCUGUAGCUCAACA
Molecule: long non-coding RNA, 1230 nt
Organism: Cyprinus carpio (common carp)
Lineage: Eukaryota; Metazoa; Chordata; Actinopteri; Cypriniformes; Cyprinidae
Exons: 3
Source: RefSeq, a predicted model, not a curated record